Chelonia mydas (Green sea turtle) is the source of this 72-nucleotide non-coding RNA. The record is from Rfam. NCBI's taxonomy places the organism in Eukaryota, Metazoa, Chordata, Testudines, Cheloniidae.
GGUCCCAUGUUGUAAGGGCCAGCACUCAGGGCUUUGAAUCCUACAAUCCAAGUUCAAAUCUCAGUGGGACCU